This 468-nucleotide ribosomal RNA is filed under the name uncultured bacterium. RNAcentral's name for it is "partial 16S ribosomal RNA". It matches the Rfam family "Bacterial small subunit ribosomal RNA", at positions 28 to 507 of the family's 1533-position model. The record is from RNAcentral.
GACGAACGCUGGCGGCGUGCUUAACACAUGCAAGUCGAACGGAAAGGUCCUGCUUUUGUGGGGUGCUCGAGUGGCGAACGGGUGAGUAACACGUGAGUAACCUGCCCUUGACUUUGGGAUAACUUCAGGAAACUGGGGCUAAUACCGGAUAGGAGCUCCUGCUGCAUGGUGGGGGUUGGAAAGUUUCGGCGGUUGGGGAUGGACUCGCGGCUUAUCAGCUUGUUGGUGGGGUAGUGGCUUACCAAGGCUUUGACGGGUAGCCGGCCUGAGAGGGUGACCGGCCACAUUGGGACUGAGAUACGGCCCAGACUCCUACGGGAGGCAGCAGUGGGGAAUAUUGCACAAUGGGCGGAAGCCUGAUGCAGCAACGCCGCGUGCGGGAUGACGGCCUUCGGGUUGUAAACCGCUUUCGCCUGUGACGAAGCGCGAGUGACGGUAAUGGGUAAAGAAGCACCGGCUAACUACGUG